Long non-coding RNA from Bos taurus (domestic cattle), 642 nucleotides. Lineage: Eukaryota; Metazoa; Chordata; Mammalia; Artiodactyla; Bovidae. The record is from Ensembl.
CAGUCCUCUGGCUUCAGUCUCUGUCCUCCAGUAAAUGCAAAUAUCCUGGAACAAGCGGCACCAUCAAGGGAGCGCAAAGAACCGGAUACUAGUACCAGUUCCGGUGCCGGUUCCUGAGAAACUGUGGGGCAACCUCCUCUAACUGGUCACAGGACACCUUCCUGAGGGACCAUCGUGGGUGGCCAGGACUCCACGGUAAACAGGUUCCUCUGUCCGUGGGAUUCUCCAGGUAUUGGAGUCAGUUGCCGUGCCAUCCUCCAGGGGAUCUUCCUGACCCAGGGAUCGAACCUGCAUCUCCUGCAUCUCCUGCGCUGGCAGGUGGGUUCUUUUCCACUAGCACCACCUGGGAAGCCUGCAACAGAACAUCACUCAGCCACAAAAAAGAAUGAAACACUGCAGCAAUAUGGAUGGACCUGGAGAUGAUCGUACUUAACUACGAAAGCCAGAAAGACAAAGACGAACACCAUAUGAUGUAACUUAUAUGUGGAGUCUAAAAUAGGACUUAAGGGAAGACACCUAAGAAACAGAAACAGACUCUGACAUAGAGAACAAACUUGUGGUUGCCAAAGGGGAGGGAAGGAUUGGGAGUUCGGGAUUAGCAGAUGCAAACUAGUAUAUAUAGAACAGAUAAGAAACAGGGUC